RNAcentral lists this ribosomal RNA (233 nucleotides) under uncultured bacterium. RNAcentral's name for it is "partial 16S ribosomal RNA". It matches the Rfam family "Bacterial small subunit ribosomal RNA", at positions 100 to 334 of the family's 1533-position model. The record is from RNAcentral.
CGGCACGGGUGAGUAAUACAUCGGAACGUGUCUUCUAUGGGGGAGUAACUGCCCGAAAGGGCAGCUAAUACCGCAUGAGACCUGAGGGUGAAAGCGGGGGAUCGCAAGACCUCGCGCUGGAAGAGCGGCCGAUGUCCGAUUAGCUAGUUGGUGAGGUAAAGGCUCACCAAGGCGACGAUCGGUAGCCGGACUGAGAGGUUGAACGGCCACAUUGGGACUGAGACACGGCCCAG